GGAAGCCAUCGCUAGAUUUAUCUAAUCUACAUGCCGACGAAAAACGGCUUUGAUUACGCUAAAAUGUACGCUGGUUGCAGCAUUGCCUAAAAUGUUUAGUAGACGAGCUAUCUAAUAUUUUUAGACAACUAAAAUUUAGGAAGAGAUUGAGUUACAAUCGUUUAUGCAGCCAUCCUUGAACUGUGCUUUACGCCCGCUAGACGAUAGGGAAAGGGAACGGCAAACCACGUGGUCGGCGGAACUAUAAGCUAUGUUUUGUCUACCUACGAGAGAAAGGCGAGAGCGUAAUACUCUGGCUCUCGCUGAGAAUAAGAACUGCUGCCACAUUAAUCGGGAAUCUUUGUGUACUGCAUUUGCGAAUGAAAGAGUAGUAUUUGUAGAUUUUUUACUAUUUUUCCCCAUGCCCAAAAUCAAAAACAAACAAAAAAUACAUCAAGCGUAUCGCCAACGUAGAACUCAAAGCUUUGAUGACCCUAGAGAAAUCGAACAGAUUUAUUCCUCUCUACAGCUAUAGCCUUGUUUAAUCUCGUCAAGAAUAAUGGAACAAGUGUCCAGUGUUAGCUGAAACUUGAUCGAGUUUUCAAUGCGUAUCACAGUGAAGGACUAAUGAGAAAUCAUGCUCCAGAAUACCAAUAUAUUUUGCAGGAAGGAUUUGAGAAGGAAAUUUAUAAAAUGGUUUGAGCUGAACAUAAUAAGCUACGCGUUUUUAAUUCUCGUAAAUCUCUCACUACAAGUUUUGUAAACAAAAACAAUGUACCAAAUUUAGCUAAUUUAGAUGCAUGAAUUAGCAUCAGUGAUGGCAUGAACUCGUGCAUAGUUGAACUGAGUAACACUUUUUCAGAUUUGAAUCCAACUUGAAUCUGCUUCCCCUCGAUAGUUUGAGUUUUUUGCACCGCACACUCUGAUCGAUUGAGUUUAAAUGCGUGCAAUGCAUGCAGUGCACGAGUUUUGUUUUUAGAUUGAAUUUAUGUUUCAAAGGACAAUGCAACAAACUGUUGCAGCAGACGCGGUGCGAAUUUCGUCGCAAUUCGAUUUUUAUGCAAUUGUUGUUAUGCAGGAUUCAAACUCAAAUCCAACUCAAGUGUAAUGCACUGUCAGUAGGGUUUACGUGCAAACCGAAAAUAAAUGUGCAAGCAAGUUUUAAAACUCACUUGGAUACGAGUGCAAAGUCACACUGCCUACUCUGAUUAGCAUUAAUAAGAAAAAAAGAAAUGAAUCUUUGAUUCAGCAGAUUCAAUAUUAACAUGAAUCAAAUUCGUACUCCACUCAAUUCGUAACAAAGCAAGCACAAAUAGUAAUAUGCGGCUCAACUGUUCAUAGAUAACCAUGCGACCCCAUUGGUUCACAAGAAAUGGAAGCGGUUUGUAUUUUGAAUCAUAACGUGCUGUGUGUGAACCUCAGAGCUACAGGAAUACAUUUUAGACAAGACAAGGAAUGGUUUUUCAUACGAAUGUUUCUAAUUGAGGCCCAAGCCCCUAAAAAUGUUAAAAAAAAAUUAUUCGCCUAGCAUUUUUUGGACAAUUUGUUUGGCAAUAGCACAUUUAAAGUUUGCGUAGAUUCACGCAAGAACUGCUUACGUACAUACACUACACAUACACAACUUUAAUUUUUAAUGAGGGUAUUAAGAUAUAUUUCACAUAUUGUCUUGUUUAUUCUUUAAUAAAUACCGUUAAAAGAUUAUGACGACUUGAGCUAGUUUCAAUGAAACCCGUUAACCGUUGCCAAAAUAUGUAUUUGAAAAACCCCAAUCAACAUGGGUAAAUCAGUUGGAUUCGUGCACUAAUAGUAGUACUGAAGUGUUUAAAAAAGCAAUUCCAUGCCACAUGACCUAUCGUCCAAUUCAGACUAUUUUUGAAUUGAAUGAAACUUUGCACAGGUAUUUGCCUAAGCAAACUGAAUAUUUUUCAUAGGUAAGUGGAGGAAUUUUUUAAUUUCAAGAGUUAUUUUGUGAAAGAGCGUAUGCAUUUCGGAGUAGGCUUUAUUUAAAAAUUAUAGUUAGGAAACCUGUUUGAGAUAGAUUUCUACCAAACGGAACUUAUAAAGCCUCGUAAAAAAUAUACAUUGUGAAAAUUUUUUUUUCUAAUAAUAAUUUCAAAUAAACACAUACAAAUGUUUAAUUCAAAAUUUCGUUUUUUCGUUGUCUGGUUCUGUAAACUUAAAUUUGAUAUAACUUGAAAACAGAUGCUUUGAGAAGGCAAAUCUCCAUCAGCGUUUCCAUUAUAAAUCCCUUAUUUCACAUAAUUGCAAAACAAUGAUUCAGAAGCGUUGAAUUUGAAAAAAAUCUGAUAUUCAACCUCCAAAAAAAGUAGUAGGUUGUAUCCAAGGCACGACUUCAUAACCGACGUAAAACUACGCACACUAUUACCAAAUGCAUUGUUGAGAGUGUUGUAUUAACGACUCAUAGAGUCUACUAUUGCAUGGUAAAAUCAAUUCAUCAAUUCAUUACUUGUUUAGUGGCCAUAAGAAGGCCAGUUUGCUGCUCAAAAUUGAUAUGAUGCUGAUCGCAACCAAGAACCGUUUGGUGGCAAUAAGAUAAAAUGCUUUUGAAAAUGAUUAGUAUCUGUUAACUCUGCAGUAUGUAAUGCGGUCUAACCAACCAGAAGCACACAUCGCAAUGCUCUACCUGCUCGCCACAGCUACCUCCACGAAAUAAGCGAUUAAUUUUGACUCAUUCUCUUUUUAUAGUAAGCCAGCAACCAGCCGAUAGCAAGCGAAGGGAAAGCGAGCUUGUGAUUGGUUGAAUGAACACAAGAUUUUCCAAUUAUUACAGCAAAGUUUAGGGCAAUGUUUCAACUGUCGAUUGAGAUAGCAACGCUCUGCCUGUGUAGCACGGCCCGCGAACCAAAAUGAGUGAUUGAUUUUCGUACUACCUCUAUGUAUAGUAAUACAGCAAGCAGCAGACAAUAAGCGGAGGGAAAGCGAGCUUGUGAUUGGUUAAAAGUUGCAAAACUAAACUGAAAUUGACGGUUUUAAACUCAUUUUUCACUGAUUUACCAUCGCAAAAAUAUACUAAUUAUUAUAUCAUAAGCUUGGGGCAACCUUCACUUUUCGAUAAAGACAUUGACGUUUAAAAUCCGCUCAGAGGUAGCAACAUAAUAUGCGUUUUAAGCGGACACAUCUUCGUAGCCCUUUCCACAGCAUGCCACUACAAAAGAAAGACGUGUCCCACGUAAAACACCGGUUUCACAUUAAAAAAAUUAGACGGCUGCGGCAGAUUUUGAAUUUGACCAUAAGCAGGUUUCAACAACAUUUCAACAAGGCUUAACAAUUUUCAGUUGUACAAUAGUCAGCAUAAUCAAACAACAAUGUCCUGCAUUUGGGCGGAUGCGUGUAAUUUUUCAAUCGAUAGUUGCAAGAACGAUGGUUAUCAUUCAGAAUCAAACCGUUCUAUAAUCAUUUAAAAAGGGUUUCUGUUUAAAAGGGUUAUGUUAAUAGAUUUUCAUUUUGCAUUCCUAUGAGGUAGGCUAAAGAAAAACGUAGUUCUACGUCAAAAAUUGGUCUCAUAUUUUUCUCCACCCUGGACUUUACACAAACACUUUAUUAUGAAAUCAAGUUUCUUAAAAAAAAACAAGUUUUUUCGCGAUGUGUAUUUUAACAAGGCAUCAUUAGUUGCCUACAGUUCAUUCUCAUACAUUUUUCAUACAACCACAGGUUUCUGAACUAGUUGGUGUUGCCUGGGCAAUGUUGUCGACGCGUCGUCUGGGUCUGAGUACGACGUGAUCAUUGGCGUGUGAACCAUACUUCAACGGUGGAGGCUACGCUUCGCCAACCCGAGCGUUCUUCACAUGUCCGCGUUUCGAGCGGAUAAGGUACGAAAUGCUGGCAAUAAGUAGGACGGACACCACGCCAGAGAAUAUUGUGCGUAGGAUGUGCGAGAAUAGAGCAAUCUGGGAUGCGGUCAUCAAGGCCGCAUCACAGAUCGUUAGUAUUUUGUAGGGCACCAAUCGACGGGAAACCAUCGAUGUGCCCCAGUUAAUUAGCGGUUAACUAACUGGCCUGUAUAGGCUGCUCUGCUACCCGUAGAGGUAAGGGCAAAAAGCACGACUGGCCCUCUCCCUGAAGUAAUGCCUAACGGCGGUCCCGGGGAGACCAAGGGCUUUAGCUGUUCAGCUUAAGGUUGCUCAGCAUGGGUAAAAGCAGCACUGCUGUAGCGCCACUAGGUACAAUGGCUCCGAAUCAAAGAAAUGACUGAUUUGAUGACGAAUGCAAACAGUUAGUCUAGAAGAAAAACGCAGCACAGGCGAGAAUGCUGCAACACCGUACGAGAGCGAAAGUGGAACGAUACCGACGGGCACGGAACAGCCAUAACGCAGUCCUCCGAAGAAAGAAGGGCCAGCAAGAGGACCGAGAUCCCGUAGUGAUGGAAGAGCUAUACCAAGCUAACGAAGCUCGGAAGUUCUACAAGAAGCUGAACAACUCCCGUAAAGGUUACUCGCCGAUAUGUACUGGCUGGUGCUUGGACGGCAAUAUCCUCACGGAUGAGUGUUAUGCCUUGUUCAGACUACGCCGGAUAUCACCUGAUAUCGCCAGAUGAUAUCAGAUAUCACCUCGAGCGUUCACAUUAGAGUGAGCUGAUAUGAUUUGACAUUUGCUUCGGUAAUUGAAAAGAGAAAAAACAAAAACAGGCCAAAGCUAAAACAAGACAACAAGAGCAAUGGGAUUAGGAUAGAGAUGUCAGCGAGUUGGUUCGCACCAACGCGAACUCUCAUAUGCAAUUGUCAAUAUGUGCGGGAUGAAAAUAACCAAAAUAUUUCCUUCCUUUUUUCUCGCAUGCAACGCGAAGUUCGAAAUUUGUAGGGUUGCGUCAAAAGUCAUUUGGCCGUGUUUCCAACUGCUUGAAAUGUGGUUAUUACUGGUUUUCGAAAAUGAUAUCCGCGAUAGCAUGUAGCCGAGGUGAUAUCCGUUGACAGCUCGAUUGUAUGGGAUAUCAGGUAAUCUGGAUGGUGAUAUGGCCUCGAUAGCACGAAUCGUCUGAUAUCAGGUGAUAUGCGAAUGCGGUGUAGUGUGAACGGGGUAUUAGAUGGUCGAAAGGUAGAAGCCACACAUUGAUUUGCAUCUGAGCAGCGAUGCAGUAUAAUGCGAGGAUGGUUUGAUCUUGGUGCACGAGCACAAGACAACAGGAUUCCAGUCCCCGAUCUCCUGGAUGCGGAGGAGGAGAUUGGUCGGCUGACUUCCUAGCGAGCUGUUGAAAUACGGUGGAGAAAUACUGGCUAGAACCGUGCACUGGGUCAUUGAUUUGGGAAGGAAAACGAGUACCAGAGGAGUGGAUAGAAGGUAUUGUGUGUCACAUCUACAAAAAGAUGACAAGUCGGAGUGCUGCAAUUACCGGACAAUCACUCUGCUGAACCCCGCUUAUGAAGUACUCUCACAGAUACUCUGCCGUCGACUAUCACCAUUUGCGAAGCGGUUCGUGGGACACUACCAGGCGGGAUUCAUGGGUUUCCGCGCCAUCACGAAUCAAAAAUUCGUGGUUCGGCUGAUUAAGCUGGAACGCCGCGAAUACAACGUGCCGACACAUCAUCCAUUCAUUGAUUUGAAAUCGGCAUACAAAACAUCGAUCGAGACCAACUAUAGCAAAAUAUGCACGAAUACGGAUUUCCGGACAAACUAACGUUGUCGGUCAAAGCGACGUUGGAUCGAGAGAUGUGUGCAGCUCAAGUAUCGGGAGCAUUUUCGAGCCCCUCCGAAACUCGAAUAGGUUUAAGGCAAGGUGAUGGAGUCUCGUGCCUACUGUUUAAUAUUGCCCUUGACGGUGUCAUUAAAGGAGCGGGGGUAAUAACACGAGUGGUACGAUAUUCCAAAAGUCGGUUAAACGUACAACGAACAUACCGUCAGUUGAAUUCAAUACUAGCGCAACUCAAAAUUUUGCAAAAUUUUGCAUUAACUAAAAUAUCUCUAAAAAUACAUUCCGUGGACUGGUCAUCAAUGCAUCGAAGACGAAGUACAUGAAAGAGAAGGGUUCACGAGUAGACAGUGCUCCCACCUUGAGUUCAAGUUGGUGGUGAUGAAAUCGAGGUGGUCGGGUGGUGGGCUCACUGGUAACUGUUGACAAUGAUACCCGCCGAAAAAUUCAGCGGCGCAUUAUGGCAGAAAUCAUGCAUACUUUGGUCUCCGGUAGACGAUCCGAUCGAGUAGAAUUCACCGCCGCACUAAGUUUACCAUUUACAGAACACUGAUUAGACCGGUAGUCCUCUUCGACCAUGAGACAUGGACUAUGCUUAAGCAGGACCAACGCGCCCUUGCAGGUUUCGAGCGGGAGCUGUAGCGUACCAACUUCGGCGGGCUGCAGAUGGAGAACGGAACGUGGAGAAGGCGAAUGAACCACGAUCUGUAGGAGCUUCUCGGGGAGCCAUCUAUCGUCCACACUGCCAAGAUUAGCAGGUUGCGGUGGGCUGGGCAUGUCGUACGGAUAACGGACGACAGCCCGGUAAAAAUGGUUCUUGAAACCAAUCCGUCAGGGACGAGACGGAGAGGUGCACAGCGGGCAAGAUGGAUGGAAUAGGUGGAGACGAUCUACGGACUCUACGCAGAUCGAAGAGCUGGUAAACUGCAGCCAUGGAACUAGUGAAAUGGAGAAGCCUCUUACGUUCAGCAAAGGCCACGCCUACGGCUUGGGACUGUUUGGUAAGUCGACAGCAAAUUUUGUCAAACAUAAAUAUAAAUAUUAAAUUUUAAUUACGGAAGGACCGCACAUUGAUAACGUCUGAGAAAUACCGACCAUCAACCAAAUUAUGAUCGGUCUGAGAGUAAACUUCGCCAUGGAUUGUUGUCCUGUGUGUAAUUCAAACUCAGUUUUCUCCCAUCUCUUCUUCUAGAUAUUAAUACAGCGUGAAUAUUUAAUCAGUAUACUGCUGUUUCAAUUUAAAAUACGAAAGGGAUUAACUUACCAGUCGAAUUACUGCACUCGGAUAGAAAUACACUAUUUGCUAGCAACAAAAAUAACAGUUUAGGUAGUCUCAAAUGUUUUAAAUAACUUCAUUCAAACUUUGAGUUAAUAAGCUUUAUCGUAAACAACAAACUGAAAGACUACUGAAACCACCAACCUAAAUUCUCGCCAAACAUGUGAAAAGGGCCCAUGUGCCAUAUGUAA
Molecule: long non-coding RNA, 7090 nt
Organism: Wyeomyia smithii (pitcher-plant mosquito)
Lineage: Eukaryota; Metazoa; Arthropoda; Insecta; Diptera; Culicidae
Exons: 3
Source: RefSeq, a predicted model, not a curated record